RNAcentral lists this ribosomal RNA (506 nucleotides) under uncultured bacterium. Its description in RNAcentral is "partial 16S ribosomal RNA". It matches the Rfam family "Bacterial small subunit ribosomal RNA", at positions 355 to 849 of the family's 1533-position model. The record is from RNAcentral.
UGGGGAAUUUUGGACAAUGGGCGAAAGCCUGAUCCAGCAAUGCCGCGUGUGUGAAGAAGGCCUUCGGGUUGUAAAGCACUUUUGUCCGGAAAGAAAUCCUUGGCUCUAAUACAGUCGGGGGAUGACGGUACCGGAAGAAUAAGCACCGGCUAACUACGUGCCAGCAGCCGCGGUAAUACGUAGGGUGCAAGCGUUAAUCGGAAUUACUGGGCGUAAAGCGUGCGCAGGCGGUUUGCUAAGACCGAUGUGAAAUCCCCGGGCUCAACCUGGGAACUGCAUUGGUGACUGGCAGGCUAGAGUAUGGCAGGAGGGGGGUUAGAAUUCCACGUGUAGCAGUGAAAUGCGUAGAGAUGUGGAGGAAUACCGAUGGCGAAGGCAGCCCCCUGGGCCAAUACUGACGCUCAUGCACGAAAAGCGUGGGGGAGCAAAACAGGAUUAGUACCCUGGUAGUCCACGCCCUAAACCGAUGUCAACUAGUUGUUGGGGAUUCAUUUCCUUAGUAACGU